AGAGCGAACGCUGGCGGCAGGCCUAACACAUGCAAGUCGAGCGCCCCGCAAGGGGAGCGGCAGACGGGAGAGUAACACGUGGGAACGUACCCUUCAGUUCGGAACAACCCAGGGAAACUUGGGCUAAUACCGAAUACGUCCGUAAGGAGAAAGAUUUAUCGCUGAAGGAUCGGCCCGCGUCUGAUUAGCUUGUUGGUGAGGUAACGGCUCACCAAGGCGACGAUCAGUAGCUGGUCUGAGAGGAUGAUCAGCCUCACUGGGACUGAGACACGGCCCAGACUCCUACGGGAGGCAGCAGUGGGGAAUAUUGGACAAUGGGCGCAAGCCUGAUCCAGCCAUGCCGCGUGGGUGAUGAAGGCCCUAGGGUUGCAAAGCCCUUUCGGCGGGGAAGAUAAUGACGGUACCGCAGAAGAAGCCCCGGCUAACUUCGUGCCAGCAGCCGC
RNAcentral lists this ribosomal RNA (443 nucleotides) under uncultured bacterium. Its description in RNAcentral is "SSU rRNA". It matches the Rfam family "Bacterial small subunit ribosomal RNA", at positions 26 to 518 of the family's 1533-position model. The record is from RNAcentral.